CACGGGGGGAGCAAGCGUUGUUCGGAAUCACUGGGCGUAAAGGGCGUGUAGGCGGUCAAGUAAGUGGAAUGUGAAAUCCCCCGGCUUACCCGGGGACCGGCAUCCCAUACUGCUUGGCUUGAGUACGGGAGAGGAUGUGGGAAUUCCUGGUGUAGCGGUGAAAUGCGUAGAUAUCAGGAGGAACACCGGUGGCGAAGGCGGCAUCCUGGACCAUUACUGACACUGAAAAGCGAAAGCCAGGGGAGCAAACGGG
RNAcentral lists this ribosomal RNA (253 nucleotides) under uncultured bacterium. Its description in RNAcentral is "partial 16S ribosomal RNA". It matches the Rfam family "Bacterial small subunit ribosomal RNA", at positions 524 to 776 of the family's 1533-position model. The record is from RNAcentral.